This 1072-nucleotide ribosomal RNA is filed under the name Pleosporales sp. B35. Its description in RNAcentral is "SSU rRNA". It matches the Rfam family "Eukaryotic small subunit ribosomal RNA", at positions 50 to 1133 of the family's 1831-position model. Lineage: Eukaryota; Fungi; Ascomycota; Dothideomycetes; Pleosporales. The record is from RNAcentral.
AAGGCAAUGUCUAGUAUAAGCAUUAUACCGUGAAACUGCGAAUGGCUCAUUAAAUCAGUUAUCGUUUAUUUGAUAGUACCUUACUACUUGGAUAACCGUGGUAAUUCUAGAGCUAAUACAUGCUGAAAACCCCAACUUCGGAAGGGGUGUAUUUAUUAGAUAAAAAACCAACGCCCUUCGGGGCUUCUUGGUGAUUCAUGAUAACUUCACGGAUCGCAUGGCCUUGCGCCGGCGACGGUUCAUUCAAAUUUCUGCCCUAUCAACUUUCGAUGGUAAGGUAUUGGCUUACCAUGGUUUCAACGGGUAACGGGGAAUUAGGGUUCGAUUCCGGAGAGGGAGCCUGAGAAACGGCUACCACAUCCAAGGAAGGCAGCAGGCGCGCAAAUUACCCAAUCCCGACACGGGGAGGUAGUGACAAUAAAUACUGAUACAGGGCUCUUUUGGGUCUUGUAAUUGGAAUGAGUACAAUUUAAACCUCUUAACGAGGAACAAUUGGAGGGCAAGUCUGGUGCCAGCAGCCGCGGUAAUUCCAGCUCCAAUAGCGUAUAUUAAAGUUGUUGCAGUUAAAAAGCUCGUAGUUGAAACUUGGGCCUGGCUGGCAGGUCCGCCUCACCGCGUGUACUUGUCCGGCCGGGCCUUUCCUUCUGGAGAACCUCAUGCCCUUCACUGGGUGUGCUGGGGAACCAGGACUUUUACUUUGAAAAAAUUAGAGUGUUCAAAGCAGGCCUUUGCUCGAAUACGUUAGCAUGGAAUAAUAGAAUAGGACGUGCGGUCCUAUUUUGUUGGUUUCUAGGACCGCCGUAAUGAUUAAUAGGGACAGUCGGGGGCAUCAGUAUUCAAUUGUCAGAGGUGAAAUUCUUGGAUUUAUUGAAGACUAACUACUGCGAAAGCAUUUGCCAAGGAUGUUUUCAUUAAUCAGUGAACGAAAGUUAGGGGAUCGAAGACGAUCAGAUACCGUCGUAGUCUUAACCGUAAACUAUGCCGACUAGGGAUCGGGCGAUGUUCUUUUUCUGACUCGCUCGGCACCUUACGAGAAAUCAAAGUUUUUGGAUCUGGGGGAGUAUUCCAGGCC